Molecule: ribosomal RNA, 465 nt
Filed under: uncultured bacterium
Lineage: Bacteria
Description: partial 16S ribosomal RNA
Rfam family: Bacterial small subunit ribosomal RNA
Source: RNAcentral
GACGAACGCUGGCGGCGUGCUUAACACAUGCAAGUCGAACGGAAAGGCCCCUUUGGGGGUACUCGAGUGGCGAACGGGUGAGUAACACGUGAGUAACCUGCCCUUGACUUCGGGAUAACUUCAGGAAACUGGGGCUAAUACCGGAUAGGAAUCCUUGCUGCAUGGUGGGGGUUGGAAAGCUUCGGCGGUUUUGGAUGGACUCGCGGCUUAUCAGCUUGUUGGUGGGGUAGUGGCUUACCAAGGCUUUGACGGGUAGCCGGCCUGAGAGGGCGACCGGCCACAUUGGGACUGAGAUACGGCCCAGACUCCUACGGGAGGCAGCAGGGGGGAAUAUUGCACAAUGGGCGGAAGCCUGAUGCAGCAACGCCGCGUGCGGGAUGACGGCCUUCGGGUUGUAAACCGCUUUCAGCAGGGGCGAAGCUUGUGGUGACGGUACCUGCAGAAGAAGCACCGGCUAACUACGUG